UGCUCGGCCCGAGUGCAGUGGUGCUUACAACAAAUUGAUCACCACCAGUUACAGAUUUCCUUGUCCUUCUUCACUCCCCCUGCUACCCUUGACUAGCUUUUA
RNAcentral lists this non-coding RNA (102 nucleotides) under Otolemur garnettii (small-eared galago). The record is from RNAcentral. Lineage: Eukaryota; Metazoa; Chordata; Mammalia; Primates; Galagidae.